This 206-nucleotide ribosomal RNA is filed under the name uncultured bacterium. RNAcentral's name for it is "partial 16S ribosomal RNA". It matches the Rfam family "Bacterial small subunit ribosomal RNA", at positions 568 to 773 of the family's 1533-position model. The record is from RNAcentral.
CACGCAGGCGGUUUUUUAAGUCAGAUGUGAAAGGUACCGGCUCAACCGGUGACAUGCAUUUGAAACUGAAAGACUUGAGUAUUGGAGAGGCAAGUGGAAUUCCUAGUGUAGCGGUGAAAUGCGUAGAUAUUAGGAGGAAUACCAGUGGCGAAGGCGACUUUCUGGACACAAACUGACGCUGAGGUACGAAAGCAUGGGGGACAAAC